AACGAACGCUGGCGGCAUGCCUAACACAUGCAAGUCGAACGAGACCUUCGGGUCUAGUGGCGCACGGGUGCGUAACGCGUGGGAACCUGCCCUUAGGUUCGGAAUAACUCCCCGAAAGGGGUGCUAAUACCGGAUAAUGUCUUCGGACCAAAGAUUUAUCGCCUUUGGAUGGGCCCGCGUUGGAUUAGCUAGUUGGUAGGGUAAAAGCCUACCAAGGCGACGAUCCAUAGCUGGUCUGAGAGGAUGAUCAGCCACACUGGGACUGAGACACGGCCCAGACUCCUACGGGAGGGAGCAGUGGGGAAUAUUGGAAAAUGGGCGAAAGCCUGAUCCAGCCAUGCCGCGUGAGUGAUGAAGGCCUUAGGGUUGUAAAGGUCUUUUAACCGGGAUGAUAAUGACAGGACCGGGAGAAUAAGCUCCGGCUAACUCCGUG
This 433-nucleotide ribosomal RNA is filed under the name uncultured bacterium. Its description in RNAcentral is "partial 16S ribosomal RNA". It matches the Rfam family "Bacterial small subunit ribosomal RNA", at positions 29 to 507 of the family's 1533-position model. The record is from RNAcentral.